Acanthopagrus latus (yellowfin seabream) is the source of this 2376-nucleotide long non-coding RNA. RefSeq lists it as uncharacterized. Lineage: Eukaryota; Metazoa; Chordata; Actinopteri; Spariformes; Sparidae. The transcript has 3 exons. The record is from RefSeq and is a predicted model, not a curated record.
UAGCUGUCCUGUAGCUAACGGAACCAGCUGAGACAACUAUACUAUUAGUUGCUUAGUGAAAAAUAAAAGAAAAUCACUUCCCAGAAUCCAGAUGAAAACAGAUGCAACACAGACUUUCUCUUCUGCAGCACUGACGUUGCUAACUGUAACUGCGACUUAGCUCAUUUAGCAGCGCAGCUAAGCGAGGUAGUACGGUGCACACGGCCGAGGAACACACAUAUUUACGGAGGUUUUUUAAUCCUACGGUGGCCCCAACAAAGACGUCGACUCAGGGACGAAGAAGACGAGCUCAGAUGGGGAAGGAAGAGGCGUCAAGCAGCAGAAGUUAAAGUUAAUUUAAAAUCAGCUCCGUAAAUUAUUUUAUGGCUCUUAUUAUUACUUUGCAACUACAUGAAACAGUUUAAAUUCAUUAACAUCGAAGACUUUUCUUCAUUCGGUGAAUUGUGCAACAUGAUGUUUAAUCAAGGGGAUCCUCAAGGGAGGACUUACAUGAGUGAUUAAUUUAAAAAUACCUACAGCGAACCAGUCCAGGGAAUUAGUGUCUGCUUAUUUUUCCGAGCAUGAAAACGGCUUCAUCUCAGUCCAGCUGACCACGACAGACUCAGAGGAGGACUUCCAUGGUAUCUGUUUUGUUUCUACUCCACUGUAUCUGACUUUGAUGCAUGAUGACUGCGAGCGGACCUCUAACCUUAAAAUGGUAGUGCAGCUUAAUCCAAGAUUAGGCAUGUUUUCUCAGUGCGGAGUACAAAUCUCCCUCCAUCUAUCAAAGCAGAAAUGCUUUUGAAAAACUGAGAAACGGCUCGGGAUAAAUCUGCCAGGAUGAAAAGAUGUUGAUGCUGAACCAAAAACAGCAACAAAAUAUGGAAAGGCCGUCGGCGGCCGUUUUUAUUUUUGACCUAUCUGGAUUUUAUGGCCUCCUAUGUAUUUGGCACGAAGGAGGGGGACGAUCCUGAAGUUCAAACAGAAGUCAGUCAGACUGUCCGGUUCAUUCUCACACAGAUUUACUUGGACUGGGAAUCAUAAUCAUACUCCCGUUAUCUCUGAUGGAGCUACAGAGUCGGGGAAGUCAGUGGUCACAGAUCGGGGAGGAGCUUUUAGAAGAUUUCUCAAUUUUGGAUUUGGAGUGUCUGCUUGAAUAACAGCUCUGUAUAUCAUCUGGUGGUGUGUUCACAGAGGAAGCUUGCUGCCCAAAGACAGUUUAAAAGCAAAGACAUCAUGUAACGGACGAGGGAUGAAACUACUUAAAAUUGCAUACACAAGACACAAAUUUGAACAUUUCAACAUCCAGAUUUGUCAAACAUCUUACAUUUCCACGCCACAACGCUGCUCUGAUUAUAUCCUCUAAGCCCCGCUGAUGCCUCAAACUGAAGCAGAGCGUCAUCAGAGGAUCCACACCUCGCCAGACCCGGCCGGCGGCGAGCCUCGUCACCCGCAGCUACAGUAAAGCUUGAGGUGGUGUGAACGGAGCAGACAGAUCCUCAGGAAGAGCAGAACGCAAACAGGGCUCCCAUUGAGUAACUGCCACGGCUCAUUACUGCUUCAAACAAUCUUUGCCCCGGACUGGCUGGAUUAGGUUGUUUCUGAGAUCUCUCGUUCGCUUCCACAGAGCUCACACCGGCGGUGAGAGAGGCAAAGGCUGCUGUUGACCUUUACGAAAAGGAAAGGUGAGGUGGAGAAAAUUACAAACCUUUUAAAUCAGUUUUAAACCGUAAAACAUCAAAAGCCUUGAAAGAGCAAUGAAAGCGACAAGACAAAAUGCCAUGUGUCUUUAAAAGUUAGGGUAUGAGUGGAUAGCGGCUAGAGGCUCUGAGGCAUUGUGUUGAGAUAAAUGCUAACAUCAGCAUGCUUACACACUCACAAUGACAAUGCAAACAUGCUGAGUUGGAAGGGCCAGCGAGUAAUGUAGCUUUGAGAAGGAUAAGCCUCCUCCCUAAACGUACCGCUUUAGUCUAUCCUUCACAUGUAGUGAUGUGCAGAUCGCUCUUAUUUCUAAAGCAUAAUUCACGGAUGAGGUGGCAUCAUAAAGAUGACAUAAUGAUUAAUUGUGGAUGGGAUGCAGGGGUGUAAUAAUACAUCUCUAGUUAGGAAACACAUCAUCCAUACAUCUCAAAAGGGUCUCACACUCAGUCAUGAUUCAUAAAAUGAUGAUUUUUGAGUAAAGAUGCUGUCUUCCUGAUGAAUCCCGAGCUCCAUCAGAGCUCUCCAAAAAAAUGUCUAUUUCAGAAGCCAAAAGUUUGAUUGUUUCUUCAGGAGAGUUGAGAACUACAUCUCUUAGUCUUGCUGCUUUAAGUGUGCCAUGAUAUUUGCUGCUGUGACAUUGCUGCACAUUGGAAACAAUUGAAAAUACUAAAAGCAUCCUCUCUAGUAAAUAAAACG